RNAcentral lists this long non-coding RNA (4379 nucleotides) under Capsicum annuum. RNAcentral's name for it is "long non-coding RNA (CANN_LNC016804)". The record is from RNAcentral. Lineage: Eukaryota; Viridiplantae; Streptophyta; Magnoliopsida; Solanales; Solanaceae.
UUUUCCGCUCGCAUAAAGCAGCCAUCCAUAUAAAUUCGCGCUCCGUUAUAAGGGAAGCACUGAGGAAGCAGGGUUCGCGCUUCAGCGUAGCAUAAGACAAAGUCGAGUAAAGAAAGAUCGCCAUAGCAUUGUCCAAGCCCAUAGGUACUAUCUGGGCUUGUGCCAGUAAUUGCUACUCCAUAUCCUCUAGUUCUCAUUUGUUCACUUAAAAGUUCCAUUGUACCGAUAAAAUUUUGGAUGGGAACUGUUGUUUCAUUUCCACAUAUGAUCUGGAGUAUCUGAGAUCUUGGUUCAGCCACCGAUAUAUCGGGUAGAAGUAGAACCAACACGAUAACAAUGAGACUACAUAAAAUCGAAGGGGAUGGUACAACAUAGAAAACAAUGUGACCGAACUAAUUAAAAACUUGGAAAGAUACUAAUUUGCGAAUUAUUAAUACAACUUUCCAUCACUGCUAAUCGUUGUCGCUGCUAACAUUAUCAACUACCACCAUCCAUCACUCACAAUCACGAUCGCUAACCAUCAUCUACGAUCAUCACCACCAACCAUGUAUUACCACAACAACCACCAAUCACUACCGACAAUCACCAUCAUCAAUCACCACUAUAUGACUCCAACCACUGCAAUCAGUCAUCAUCAACCAUUAUCUACCACCAUCCAUCACUCACAGCCACGAUCGCUAACCAUCAUUUAUGAUCAUCACCACUAACCAUGUAUUACCACAACAAUCACCAAUCACUACAGACAAUCACCAUCAUCAAUCACCACUAUAUGACUCCAACCACUGCAAUCAGUCAUCAUCAACCAUUGUACCACCAACUUCCAUCAUAAUUAACCACUACUGGUAGCACAGAUAAAGUUAGGAUUUUGAGUUUAUGAAUUCUUGAUUCUAUAACAAAAACUUACAUAUACAUAUCGGCCAAACACAAACUGCUUCUCGUAAAAGUACUUUCUUGAAAAAUACUUCUCAAAAUAAGCUGAUUUUUAGAACUUUGACCAAACAGUAUAAUAAUCUUAGUGAAAACAAACCAAGAACAAAACAAGAAACACUCACAAAGUCCUGAGGACCACUGAAAGGUCUGAAAGAGAGAGAUGGCCAACACAAACUGAUCAGAACCUGCUGUCAAAGUUGUUGAAACACAGUGAUGAUGAGGCAUAGAGAAAAUGAAGGAACAAUUAAGAAAUGAACUAUUUUAUUGAUGAAUACUAUCAAACUGAAAAUGAUAUGAAUGGCUUUGUCAAUGAGUCAUAUUGACAGAAAAGUCAUGUUUGGUGUUCCUAAUCCAGUGUCUAGUGUGGCGGUAUCUACAUUAAAGUCCGACUAAAUUCGAAUUUAUAUUGAGAAUUUCUACGCUGAGCGUAAAACAUUUCCCAAUGAAAACGAUUUUAUAGUCAAAGAGGCUUAAAGUCGAAACAUCUAAUUAAGAAUGAAAGAGUAAUUAUCACUCCGAGGCAGAAGUCAACGGGAAAUAGUUGUGUUAGAAUAUGUUUUUUCAAACUGAACAAGUAUUGUUACGCCAGGGACCUACGUUUUACGCCAAAGGCUUACGUCCCAAAUUUUAAGGGUUAUGCCCUAUGAAUCUACGCCUUUCAUUUUGGCCCAGAGCAUCUUUGGUACACCCCGCCUCGAGACUCGCCCCGGAACUGCCUAUGAAAACACAGAUUGAUUGCUAGACUUCUUUAUAAAGUUGUUACAAGGCUUUCCAGGAAACUGCUAGUUAUCUGCCAACAUGAGUUAUUUAAUAUUAGCAUUGGAAAAACAUUGUGCAUUGUUUGCAGAUUUCUUUCUAUGCAAGUAUUUACAGUUUUACACACACAUCAAUCAUGAGUUGAGCUGAAUGGAUUAAUGAGGAUGCAUAUAGCCGAUCUCAAUUUGUUUGGAACCGAGGCAUGGUUGUUGUUGCUGUAUCUAACAGCUUCCUCAAGAAGACGAGGAGAACUGAUGCUUAUAAUUUAGGCAUAAUACACAAACAGACGCCCAAACUUGACCUCAGCUAAAACGUAAGCACUCUAACUUUGAGAAUGCACGUCUAGAUAUCCUCCAACUCAUCCCGAGUGUGUUUCGUGGAGACAAGUUGAGGUGUCUAGAUGUGCAGGCUCGAUGUUGGAGUAUUUAGUUGCAACUGAGGCCUAUUUAAAGCGUCUAUCUAUGUAUUAUGCCUAUAAUUUAUAAUCAUCUGGGGUAAAAAGAACUGUGAGAUAAGUUGGCAGUUGUAGCAGAAUCGCCUUGUUCAAGCGAGCGGUAAUGAAGUUGCAUGGUUUUCUCAUCCACAAAUGGCGGCUUAGUAGGACGAGGCAACUCUUCGUCGUUCUUGACAAACAUCUGUAAUGCCUUAGACAUGGAUGGUCGAAGCAUCGGAAUCUCUUGAGUGCACAAAAGUCCGACAUGUAAGAAUCUCGUAACCUCAUGUUUCACAUUGAUGGUGUGGUUGUUCUGCAACAUUAAAUUUGGAUCGAAUAUUUCCUCCACUGUCCCGUGUUGAAAAUGUUCCCACGCCUGUUAAUAUCAUCCAGUAAAGUUAAGAUCAACGAACAAAAAUUCUUUUCGAAAUAUGGCUCAAGAGACAAGUGAUUGAUCAGAAAUUACAGUGGAAAGCAAGCUGACUGUAUAUACGGCGUUGUUUCUCUGGUUACUUUGUCUUCCAGUAACAAUCUCUAGUAGAAGAACUCCAAAGCUGUAAACGUCUGCCUUUUCCGUUAACUGACCCCGUGCUAAGUAUUCUGGUGCCAUAUAUCCUCUGAAUAUGAAGCGUAAACAAUCCAUUAUUGGACCAUAUUAGUCUUUUUGUGUCCUUUUACGCAAUAAAAUUAGAAGAUGAGAUGAAGAAACACUAACAAUGUGCCAGCAAGAGCAGUGCUUAUGUGACUUUUGUCAUCGUGGAAUGACCUGGCCAACCCAAAAUCAGCAAUCUUUGCACGGAACCUCGAGUCCAACAGGAUAUUGCUGGCUUUUAUAUCUCUGUGAAUUAUUCGAGUCUUUGUGUUCUCGUGAAGGUAUAUCAAUCCUUCUGCUGUCCCUAUAAUUAUCUCAAAUCUUUUCUCCCAGUUCAGAUCUCUACCUUUGAUAGGGUCUGUCGAAAACACACCAUCGAGUCGUAAAGAAAAGUCGGUUUUCACUUUGAUUUUUAGUUGAUGCAAUGAUGACAUGAGUUUAGCUUAAAAAUAGUAGUGAGGAUUCAUAUAGCCGACCCCUAAUUUGUUGAGACGUAGUUGUUGUUGUUGCAAAGUCUAGUUACUUACCAAAUAGGAAGCGAUCGAGACUCUGGUUAGGGAGGAAUUCGUAUACAAGAAGGCUUUCGGGUCCCGAGCAGCUGCAUCCCAAUAAUCUUAUCAAAUUUUUGUGCUGAAAGCUGCUGACUAUGUUAACCUCGUUAUAAAAAUCUGCAGCUCUGUGUAUGUUGUUGAAGAACAGCCUUUUGACAGCGAUCUCUCUCCCAUCUGCCAAAAUACCCUGCAACAAGUUGUGCCUCAGACUCGAUUUAGUUGCCAAUGCUUCUUGUACUACAUUCAGCCAUUGCGUACCUUAUAAACCGUUCCAAAUCCACCUUGUCCGAGCUUGUUGGCCUCAUCAAAUGACCCCGUGGCUUUGUCAAGUGUCGAAUACUUGAAGUUCAAGCUGAUGUCAUGAAGGAUCUUCACUAGUUUCUCAGCAUCAUUUGCACCUAACAAGUUCAAAUUUCCCGGGAAAAGCACGAGUAAGCCAUAACGCCUCAAGUUAGUACGGUUGUGUGCAUAUCGCAACAUAUGUGUUCAUCAUUGAUAUCCUAAUGACUUUUAUAAUUGAUUCUGGCACAAAAGAUUUACCUUUUCUCUUCUUCUGCAUUUGUUUGUUCUUCCAGACACCAAUACCAAUGAAAGCACCUACUCCCAAGACGAUAACGGAACUAACAACAAUGAAAAUGACUACAAUUUUUCCUGCAAUAUGGUGAUUUCAAAGUUAAAAAAUCUCCAUUUCUCAGCAAAAAUACGUUUUCAGUCGAUAAAUAACAGGCAAACAUGGACUAGAAAAGAGCAAAUAGUACCCCUUGAUGACGAGCCUUCACUUGUCGAAAUAGCGUUAAGAUAAUUUGUAUCAGAAUACCUCAUGAAACAUCCAGUGUACAGAGCUCUACCUUCUGACCAAGGUAAGCAUCCCAACAUAGAGGCAGACGCAUUCUGCAAACACGCUGCGCAGGAGUUAGCACUCAGCGUCUUCCAACAAUCAGCUAGUACAUAAGCUGUCUCAUUUGAAGGCCCUGGCAUGGACACUUGACAAGCCCAUAGGUACUAUAUGGGCUUGUGCCAGUAACUGCUACUCCAUAUCCUCUAGUUCUCAUUUGUUCACUUAAAAGUUCCAUUGUACCGAUAAAAUUUUGGAUGGGAACUGUUGUUUCGUUUCCAC